Juglans regia (Persian walnut) is the source of this 1068-nucleotide long non-coding RNA. RefSeq lists it as uncharacterized. The transcript has 3 exons. NCBI's taxonomy places the organism in Eukaryota, Viridiplantae, Streptophyta, Magnoliopsida, Fagales, Juglandaceae. The record is from RefSeq and is a predicted model, not a curated record.
UUUGAGAACAAGAGCUAGCAUGAAAAGCUAGCUAGCACCAUGUGUUCGUGAUAAUUCCCCCCGAGAGAGAGAGAGAGAGAGAGAGGAUAUCCAUUAAUUAGUCUCUCUCUAAGAGAUGGCACGCAAUACCUUGGAUUUUUCUUCAGCCUUUCAACGGAAACACCCAACAGCAAUCAUCAUGCCCUCUUCCUCGCCCUUCCCUCUGACCCUCCACCUCCAUCAUUACCCCCUCAACACUCCCACCCAUUCCUUUUUCAUCAUCAUCCACCAACCCCCUGAUGAUGAUCUUCACCAUCACCUACAACACUCUCAAAAUCUAGAAGAAGCAGCAAAAGAAGGAGGAGAAGCAGAAGCAGAAGCAGAAGCAGCAGCAGCAGCAGAAGAAGAAGGUUUCCUUGUUUAUGAGAAAACCCUACUUUUAAGUUUCAAUCUUUUAUGAUUGAAGGGUCUUUUUCAUUAAAGAAUCCAGCAGCUCUUGCAUGCUCUCGGGGAAUCAAGCGUCUCGGUCCGAUCGUUCGCUAGAUCAAGCUAUUACAACUAUAUAAGAUGUCGUACAAGAGGGACACGAAGAUAAUCAACGCUGCAUCGUUCACCGUCCAGAGGGAGGACCACACAAUCGGCAACAUUCUUUGCAUGCAAUUGAACAGGAAUCCGAAUGUUUUAUCCGCUGGGUACAAGCUUCCUCAAUUAAAUUAAAUUGUUUUUAUAAAUUCCAAUGUAUGCUUGCUUACAAGGAUGAUGUCGCGGUCGCACCAAGGGAUCUGAUCGUCGCUGGCGAAGAAUGAACCGAUGGAGUCGAAGAAAUAGCUGAUCUUGGCGUCCAUGGCGUUUGGUUUACGGAAAUUCAAGUUGCAGUGCUUUAUUUCAGGAGUGAAAAUUUUAAAAAACUAGAAACUUCUUUUUUUUUUUAAAUAAAAAGAAUAAAAAGAAAAACGAUAAUUGAAAUAGACACUUGGCAAUAACAUAAAGAAUCCGCGUGGUAGUAGUGCGAUGUGGCAUGCCCGUCUACUGUAGACUAUUGUUGACAAUAAUUGGAAUAAAAAAUAGAAUCUUGAACUAUUAUGCUUA